This 400-nucleotide ribosomal RNA is filed under the name phytoplankton environmental sample. RNAcentral's name for it is "partial small subunit ribosomal RNA". It matches the Rfam family "Eukaryotic small subunit ribosomal RNA", at positions 587 to 988 of the family's 1831-position model. The record is from RNAcentral.
AGCUCCAAUAGCGUAUAUUAAAGUUGUUGCAGUUAAAAAGCUCGUAGUUGGAUUUGGGACUGGAGUCGUUCGGUCGGCCGCAAGGUCUGUUACUGAACGGCUCUGUCAUCACAUUCCCAGAGACCUGCCGUGUACUUAACUGUGCGCGGUACGGGAUUUGGGACGUUUACUUUGAAAAAAUUAGAGUGUUCAAAGCGAGCGAUUGCCAUGAAUACAUUAGCAUGGAAUAAUAGAAUAGGACCUGAUCCUGUUUUGUUGGUUUGUCGGUAUUAGGUAAUGAUUAAGAGGGACGGUCGGGGGCAUUUGUAUUCCAGGGUUAGAGGUGAAAUUCUUGGAUCCUUGGAAGACAAACAGCUGCGAAAGCGUCUGCCAAGGACGUUUUCAUUGAUCAAGAACGAAA